GUGGGGAAUAUUGCACAAUGGGCGCAAGCCUGAUGCAGCAACGCCGCGUGAGGGAUGACGGCCUUCGGGUUGUAAACCUCUUUUAGUCAGGAAGAAGGGCACCGUAGGGUGUUUGACGGUACUGGCAGAAAAAGCACCGGCUAACUACGUGCCAGCAGCCGCGGUAAUACGUAGGGUGCAAGCGUUGUCCGGAAUUAUUGGGCGUAAAGAGCUCGUAGGCGGCUUGUCGCGUCUGCUGUGAAAACCCGGGGCUCAACCCCGGGCCUGCAGUGGGUACGGGCAGGCUAGAGGGCGGUAGGGGAGAUUGGAAUUCCUGGUGUAGCGGUGGAAUGCGCAGAUAUCAGGAGGAACACCGAUGGCGAAGGCAGAUCUCUGGGCCGUAACUGACGCUGAGGAGCGAAAGCAUGGGGAGCGAACAGGAUUAGAUACCCGGGUAGUCC
Molecule: ribosomal RNA, 440 nt
Filed under: uncultured bacterium
Lineage: Bacteria
Description: partial 16S ribosomal RNA
Rfam family: Bacterial small subunit ribosomal RNA
Source: RNAcentral